UACGUAGGAGACGAGCGUUGUCCGGAGUUACUGGGCGUAAAGGGUGCGCAGGUGGCGGCGCGCGUGGGGGGUGAAAUCGCCCGGCUUAACUGGGCGGGGGCCUUCCAGACGGCGUGGCUUGAGCAGCGGAGGGGGACGUGGAAUUCCGGGUGGAGCGGUGAAAUGCGUAGAGAUCCGGAGGAACACCGACGGCGCAGGCAGCGUCCUGGCCGCUUGCUGACACUGAGGCACGAAAGCGUGGGGAGCAAACGGG
Molecule: ribosomal RNA, 253 nt
Filed under: uncultured bacterium
Lineage: Bacteria
Description: partial 16S ribosomal RNA
Rfam family: Bacterial small subunit ribosomal RNA
Source: RNAcentral